AAAUAAACUUGUUAAGCUCACAAGAAUCAUCCUGACCAGGCCCACCUGUGAAUGGUUGCAGGCAAGAAGAAAUUAACACAUCCCUUUCCGGAGUCUGGCUGGAACCAGAACUUUAGCCCCUCCUCUUUCAGUGUAAAAGAAGCCUGAUUCCUAACUCCGGAAACAUGGUUCUUUGGGACACUAGAGCGUCAUCUUCUGGGUCUGCUGGCUUUCCAAAUCAAGUUGCAAUUCCUUGUCCCAACAACUCAUCUCUUGAUUUAUUGGUCCAUUGUGCAGUGACCAGUAUCAGAUCAGACCAGUAUAAGCUUGGACUCAGUAAAAAACUUUAGUAGAGCCAGCCAGGAGACUAACUGCUUGUGGACAGCCAACCCUGGUUAGGGAAUUUUCCAGUAAGGCCCUAGCAGCUGCUGGGACCACUUGUCUUGAGGAUCUGCCCUUCAGAAUUUCCUAAAGCAGCACUGGCUGCCUCAGUACAUGGCAGCUGGAAUAAGGGAUCAGCAUUUGGUAGUCGACGGGCUCAAUGCAAUAGGAACCAGGGUGGCCUGGCACAGAUGCACUGAUGAGGGAUGCACUAAAAGCAGCUACAAGUGGCUGCAUCAGGAAGGAUCAAGGGCAGGCUGCAGCAACGGGCCAACACAAGGACGUCAUCUCACCAAGGGCUGCGUUUGAGGUAGGGCUACUCAAAUUAGGUGAAAGCCCUAAGAAUUGCCUGGUCUCUGGAGCAGCGUCAGCAAGGGACAGCUUCGUGCUGGGCAGGCUGACCAGGUGCUGGAAAGGUACAAGGCUUGGCAAUGAGAGAAGUGGAGCCCCCAGCUCUUCUCUUCUGUGACCUACCCACACACACUGAUAAAGUUAAUUAUCUGCCCUGGCUAAAUGACUUUCCCUAGCAACACCCUAGCAACUAACAUCAGCUCUGCCUUAGGCUACAAAACUGGAAAGAGAUUUCUUGAAGUCCAGUGUAUUUUACAACAGAACGAAACAUCUGAACAGGAAAUUAAACAGAAAGUAAACUGGAUUCAUUGCUAGGAGAUGAGACAUAGACAUACGAGACAGUUUACAACAAUCUACUGAACGCAAUAGUCAAAAUAAGAAACUUUCUUCUCACAAGUUAUACUGAAGUCCGGAGGAGAGACUGCAAGACUUCAUUCCAUGGAGAAGAAGAGAAUUUCAAUGGGCAGAAAAAGGGAAGACAUCCUAGGUGAUGGGAAAGCUAUAAACAAAGUUUGCCAAUUCUGAAAGUGGGGAAUACAGGGGAUCCAGCUGGGGAGCACUGAGAGCUCAGUCUGGAAUCUAUGACCAGAUCAUGGAGGGCCUUGAAGUUCACUUGAAGAACCUGGGCUGCAUCAGAGGGUCCUGGGAGGCUGUUAUUCACAGAACAAAUACUUAUGGAGCCAGGCACCAUGAUGUGCAUGGAGGACACAGUGGUGAGCCCCAGAGACAGUACCAGUCCUUAUGGAUACUGGAAUCUAGUGAUGGAGACAGUGAACAAACACCAAAUGUAAAAGUCAAACAUAAAAGUGACCAUAUGAUUAUAACACAACAUUUCCCUGGUGGCUGCUAAAGAGUCUGCCUGCAAUGUGGGAAACCUAGGUUCGAUCCCUGCAUUGGGAAGAUCCCCUGGAGAAAGGAAGAUAAUUAUAAAUCUUGAGACUAUUAAGAAGAAGAUAUCAAGUUCCAGGAGAGCAUAUAAAGAGGGGCAGGACCUAUUCAGGGAAAUCUGGAAGGACUUCUCUGGGGAAGCAGUUUUGCGCUGAGAUCUGAAGGAUGAGUAGAAGUUGGUUGGGAGAGGACGGUGGGUGGGGGAGACAAAAGCACUGGAUUCUAGGCAGAGAGAACCACACAGACAAAAGUUCAUAAAACUGAAAAGCCAUGGUGGCCAGAGAUCAUGAGAGAAGGGGCGCGUGGCCUUGAGAGGCAGAUCAAGCAGAGCCUCAGAGGCCACAUUAAAGAUUCUUUGUUUUGAGAACCCCAAAAAGCCAGUGGAAAAGGAUUUUAACUGAGGGAUUGACAUUCUAGUCUGCAUUUUAAAAAGGAUCACUCAGACUUCAGUUCAGAAGAUGCACUGGAGGAGAGAAAGAGUAGACAUGGGCAGCCCAGUUAGGAGGCUGAGAGAUGAUGGCAGCUCAGACUGGUGUGGUACCAGAGGAGAUGGCAAAAAAUGGACACAUAUUACAGGGAAUUGGA
Molecule: long non-coding RNA, 2184 nt
Organism: Bos taurus (domestic cattle)
Lineage: Eukaryota; Metazoa; Chordata; Mammalia; Artiodactyla; Bovidae
Source: Ensembl